Molecule: long non-coding RNA, 1719 nt
Filed under: Homo sapiens (human)
Lineage: Eukaryota; Metazoa; Chordata; Mammalia; Primates; Hominidae
Description: non-protein coding lnc-DNAJB6-13:1
Source: RNAcentral
AGCAUCUGCAGCACAGCGACAGCACCAGCCCGAGCACUGCGAGGCUCGCAGAGCCCGCAGGACAGAUGGGUUCUAGCUGUCAUGCAGCUCCCACCUCCAGUGCGAAUGAUCCUCAAAAUAAGAGGUACUUCUUCACCAAGGAAGAAAUACCCGAACAGACGCACAUCAUACUGAUACACAUCUACCCGACACACACACUCAUAUACACACAUGCACAUAUGCACACACUUCUACCCAACACACACACUCAUACACACUCACACACACACGUACAUACAGAUACACAUCUACCCAACACACUCAUAUACACACAUGCACAUAUGCACAAACUUCUACCCAACACACACACUCAUACACACACACGUACAUACAGAUACACACAUCUACCCCACAUACACUCAUAUACACACAUGCACAUAUGCACAAACCAAUACACAUCUACCCUACAUACACACUCAUAUGCACAUAUGCACAAACCAAUACACAUCUACCUGACUCAUACACACACACGUACAUACAGACACACACAUCUACCCAACACACACUCACUCAUACACACACAUGCACAUACGCACAAACCGAUACACAUCUACCCGACAUACACACUCAUACACACACACACAAAUACGCAAAUACACACAUCUACCCAACACACACACACACAAAUACCUACAAACUGAUACACAUCUACCUGACAUACACACACACGCACAUAUGCACAGAUACACACACCUAUCCAACACACAUACACACACACGUACAUACACAGAUACACAUCUACCAAACACACACACAUAUACACACACACGCACAGAUACACACAACGAAAUACCCGAACAGAUGCACAUCAUACGGAUAACACAUCUACCCGACAUACACACUCAUACACACACACACGCACAAACUGAUACACAUCUACCCGACAUACACACUCAUACACACACAUGCAAAUAAGCACAAACCAAUACACAUCUACCCGACAUACACUCAUACACACACAUGCAAAUAAGCACAAACCAAUACACAUCUACCCGACACACACUCAUACACACAUACAUAUGCACAAACAUAUCGACACAACACACACUCGUAUACACACACGCACGCACAUGCACAUACAGAUGCACACACAUUUACCCAACGUACACUCAUAUACACACACAUGCAUACACAGACAUCUAUCCAACACUCAUAUAGACACAUGCAUAUGCACAGAUACAUGUCUACCCAACAUACACACUCAUAUACACAGAUGCAGAUACACAUCUACCCUACACACUCAUAUACACACAGAUACACACACAUCUACCCAACACACAUUCAUAUACAUACGCACAGAUACACAUUUACCCAACAUACACUAUACACACACGCACAUACACAUCUACCCAACACACACUCAUAUACACACACAUGCGUAUGCAGAUACACACACAUCUACCCAACAUACACACUCAUACACACACACACCUACCCAACAUACACUCAUAUACACACACAUACAAACGUGUGGGUGUGUGUACAUCCAGGCAGACACGUCCUUCUCUUUGAAACACCAAUUCUAUCACUUGAAGAAAACACAACACUUGUACAAAGCAAAGCAUCAAAUGUCAGAUUCAUUAACGGGGUGACCUGAGAACGGGCCAGCCACUUGUGCCUUGCUGGGCCCGUGAUGUCUGAAUUCUGAGACUCGUUAAGUUCAGAUCGACAUGAGGGCGG